CAGCCGCCGCGGUAAUACGUAGGUGGCAAGCGUUGUCCGGAAUUAUUGGGCGUAAAGGGCUCGCAGGCGGUUUCUUAAGUCUGAUGUGAAAGCCCCCGGCUCAACCGGGGAGGGUCAUUGGAAACUGGGAAACUUGAGUGCAGAAGAGGAGAGUGGAAUUCCACGUGUAGCGGUGAAAUGCGUAGAGAUGUGGAGGAACACCAGUGGCGAAGGCGACUCUCUGGUCUGUAACUGACGCUGAGGCGCGAAAGCGUGGGGAGCGAACAGGAUUAGAUACCCCCGUAGUCCCUGUCUCUUAUAC
RNAcentral lists this ribosomal RNA (301 nucleotides) under uncultured bacterium. RNAcentral's name for it is "partial 16S ribosomal RNA". It matches the Rfam family "Bacterial small subunit ribosomal RNA", at positions 509 to 807 of the family's 1533-position model. The record is from RNAcentral.